AUUGAACGCUGGCGGCAUGCCUUACACAUGCAAGUCGAACGGGGGUAGCAAUACUCUAGUGGCGAACGGGUGAGUAAAGCAUCGGGACGUACCCAGUCGUGGGGGAUAACGUAGCGAAAGUUACGCUAAUACCGCAUACGCUCUGAGGAUGAAAGCAGGGGACUCGCAAGAGCCUUGCGCGAUUGGAGCGGCCGAUGUCGGAUUAGCUCGUUGGUGGGGUAAAAGCCUACCAAGGCGACGAUCCGUAGCUGGUCUGAGAGGAUGAUCAGACACACUGGGGCUGAGACACGGCCCAGACUCCGACGGGCGGCAGCAAUGGGGAAGAUUGAACAAUGGGGGAAACCAUGAUCCAGCCAUGCCGCGUGAGUGAAGAAAGCCUACGGGUUGUAAAGCGCUUACAGACGGAAAGAGAUGGUCUUGGCUAAUACCCGAGAUCGAUGACGGUACCGUAAGAAGAAGCACCGGCUAACUACGUGCCAGCCGCCGCGGUAA
Molecule: ribosomal RNA, 492 nt
Filed under: uncultured bacterium
Lineage: Bacteria
Description: partial 16S ribosomal RNA
Rfam family: Bacterial small subunit ribosomal RNA
Source: RNAcentral